AUGAAGUGAUUCAGUAUGAACCUCGCUGUGAGAUUUGACGAAGAAAACAUGCCGGCGCCAGCGUCAUGUAUGAGCGCUGAGCACGGCUGUGUUAUGUUCGAUUGUCUGGUGCAUUUGUGGGAAUGGAUCGAUCCACCGGUGACACAGACGGACUAUCAGAUGGAGAAUAAAAAAAAUGUAACAGCAACCCAACAGCCGGUGACACAGCAACAUCUCAUGGCUCAUCAUGUCCAUCCUGACCAAAUAUAUUCACCCCAACAGACGCAGUUACCCACACUUGUUAAUAAUCAAGCCGCGCAAAUCCAACAGAAUGGCGUCAUGCAUCAACUAUUACAAAGCCAAUAUCACUCGAAUAUGAAUGCACGAUCGCCACUCCUUGAAAACAAGCACGAGAUGUAUGGAACUGGACAUAAUCACGACUAUGUUAGACAUUACGGGGCGAAUGACAAUUACAAUUAUCCACAAUCACCGCCCAGAAUUGAAAAAACCGAGAUUCACACAGACCACAACGUAAAUCACGAACUGCUUCAGAAUAUGCCUAAAGGUUACAACGCUGAAGUUUAUCAAGAUUAUAUGAAACGAAACCCACCGAAAGACACUAACCAAAUAUAUCAAAACCAUCAACCUAUGUACAGACCUAACAUGAACCAGUACGGUUCUAAGCCGUAUCUUCCUUAUUCAAACAGAAUAGGGCCCCAAAGUAACACGGAAUUAUUGAGGAGGCAGUAUAAUGAAAUUCAACAGAUGAAAAUGCAACAACAGAUGCAUUAUCAGAAUCAAGCUCAGAUGCAUCAACAGCAAAAAUUCGCUGAACGACAACUUUUACUGCAGCAAAUCCAUGGAGUACAACCGCCGCCGAACUUGCAGAACAGCAUUUAUUCAGACAGUUCGUACAGAGACUUAGAUCGAUAUAGCAGUAAGAAUGACUUCAAGGAGUACAGCAGUAAUGAUAUACAACGAGAUAUGGAGAGGUACGCCAAGAACUAUGAUUACAACGACAUGGACAUACAAAACAGACAGUACCAGGAGAGUCAAUGGCAGACAAACCAUAACGACUACAGGGAAUCCGAAAGGCAAAGACAAUAUUCGGAACACGAGAAAUCAAAAAGCCAAUCCCCGCCGUCUGACUAUAGCAACCAAAAGACCAAUUCAGGAGUCGUAUCUCCUAUGAAAUCUAGUGAAUCUAGUACUCCCAGUAUAAAAUCUCCUUCAUCAGAUAGUAGGAGAAGUAGUAGCGGCACUCAAGCACUACGUUCACCGACUGCCCAAAGAAUACCAUCAGCGCCAGUGAGCAUGUCCGGAAUGCUGUAUAAACAGGGCUCUGAUGGCCUUAAAGUUUGGAGGAAACGGUGGUUCGUGCUAUCUGAGUACUGUUUAUUUUACUACAAAAGUCAAGACGAGGAGAAGUUACUGGGUUCUGUGUUAUUACCGUCAUACAAAGUAUCAGCUUGCAGCGCAGAGGAUAAAGUGAUGCGGAAGUUUGCUUUCAAACUGGAGCAUGCGAAUAUGCGUACAUACGUGUUAGCGGCUUUGGACCAGGAAGCCAUGAUGAAAUGGGUGAAGGCGCUUACAAUGGCCGCGUUAAUGCAAAAUACCAAUGAACAGAAACAAAAUGACCGAUCAGCGAAAUCAGAGGAAAGUAAUGAGGAAGCCGGCCCAACUUAUGCCAACGCCCCACCAAAACCGAGACGAUCCAACGAUGGAUAUAAUUCACCUAGUCCGGAUAUGUACGAUCCAAAUUACGAUCUCCUUAGAAAACCAGCAUCACAAUAUAGUCAAGGCACUAGUAACACUAGAACGAACUACAUACAGGAAACAUACCGAAGUCCACAGAAUCCAUUACAAUCUCCAUAUCAAACAAAACGCUCAUACGACAUGCAGCAACUGUCACUACCAUUAACAAAUACAACAGACAAUUCAGACAAUCAGAAUACAUCCGUGUAUAAAUCUAACCCUCAAUCUCCUUAUGACAAUAGGUUAAGAAACCAACAUACUAAAGAGGACGAAGAAAAAAUUGAAAGUCUAUACGAUAAGAAGCCUAAUUACAAUCCAUUCUUACAAGAUUAUUCUGGACAAGAGAGGAAAUCCCAAGAGAACGAAGAUGUUAGUCGUGUGACGGCAGAUAUGAGCAAAACAUCUAUAUACAGUGAACAUUAUUCUGAUAACAGAAGCAUUAAGUCACACGACCCGAAUGUAUACAAUAGAGAAAUGUACGGAGAUAUUAAUAUGAAAAGUAAUAAAACUAACGCUAACAUGAACGAACGCACUCCUGAAACAUACGGACGACCGAACGCAUCGGCGUACAGUGAGAAAAUAGGAGAUUACGAAGAUAUUUACAGCGCGUACAAUAAUGAUAGUGGAAAAAUAUACCCGAAAUCUCCGAACCCAUCGCAGUCUAGGGAUACCGUCAGUCUGUCCAGCCACAAGUCACCCCAAGAACAAAAUACGAAUUAUGUACAGGAGAAAACUUUCUCUGGACCAUCCGUUCUGAGGAGGAAGAAGAUGCAGGCAAGUGGCAUUCAACCGACGAUGCCGCGACCGCACAGCGCUGACUUUUUAGAAUACGAGUCCAAAAACGAAGCCCUUAACAAUUCGGUCCCAGUACGGAAAACUAACGACCAAACCAAACAACCACAACGUCCCAAAUCCAGUUUAGACAUCAAUUCAUAUUACGACCCCAGUUCAGACAAAUACUAUUCAGAGGAGAGCUAUGCAGAAAAAAUGCGGCAAUCCGCACAAUAUUUACAACAACAGAACAUGGGCCCCAAAAAUAUACGUAUUCCUUUAGAGAAAUACGCGAGUGGACUGGCCGAAAAACAGCUGCAUUCACCGUACAACCAAAAUAACAACAAUAACUAUGAGACAGAGUUCAACGUCAAUAGAACAGUACGAGAUCAUACGAACUAUGCGUCCACGAUACAAGACCGCGAAGGAAUGAAUUCCAACUGGACCUUAAAAGAAAAAGACCUUGAAAACCAAAAGGAAUACCUCAAUAGAAGUGGUAGUGUCAUGAGCGAUGGUUCAAAUGUUAGUGCUAUAAUAAAAGAUUCUAGAUUCGAUCCCAGCUCCGAAGGUUUCAUGAGAUCAGCAAGUGCCAGAUUGCCGUCGGAAAGAGACAGAGAUAAAAAAGUGCAACAGCGCGAGGAAUCUAUGAAAAGGCUUUUAGAAUGGAAGCAGAGGAUGUUACAAUCGCCUUUAACUAGGAAAAGUACACCGGCGACUAUUUCUUUGGCAAGAUCCUUGAAUCAGAGCCGACAAUCGUUGAGAUCUGAUCAAUAUAAGCCCAAAACAUAUAAGAACGCCUCUUACAACAGUUACUCUUCAGAUGACGAAGCUUCAAUGACAAUGUCAGGAACAAAUAUUGAAACAGGCCCUAAUAAUAAUAACAACAAUCAACAUAAUCAGACAACCUUGUCAAAUAAACCAUUCCUCGGAAGCAACACAUCCAUUGGCAGGACUAAUAGGGAUGGGAAUAUUCCCGUUCGAGCUGUCAGUCCAAGAGUACGAUGGGUCGAAGACAAACAUAAUGAAGAGUACGGCUCGCAACAAUUGACUACAUCGCAACAUAAUUUAAAUAAUUUGAAUCCAUCCGAAGAAGGAUGGUCGACUGUUAGGUCACCUUCAAGAGUUAUCCAACAGCCAAUAAGGGCUGUCAGUCCGAGAGUAAGAAGGAACACUGAGAAUGAUGAAUUGCGUAAGGAUAAUCAGGAGUUGGGCGAAGUUCCAACAGCUGGGGAGCUUUUGGGACGAAGUCACGAGGAAUUAGUCCUGCUCUUGAUACAACUGAGACGUCGACAUGCUGCCACACAUCGAUCUAUUGAGCAAUGUUGUGCCCAAAUUAGUAGCAUCGAGGAUUGUAUGAGCUCGUUGAAAGCUAUGGAGCGUGAAGAGAGUUUGCAACGUCUGGAACAUUUGAAGAUGCAAUUAAUGGACCUGGAAAGUCAGUACGAGAAAAGCAAACCACUGGUACAGCUGGUUGAUAAUAUGGUGAAAUUAGGCUCAUUGUAUAAUAGACCAGGUUCCACUAUUGAGAGAUUGGAAAGGAAUCAGAGACUUCGACAAAAAGUUCUAGCUGAGCAUGCUUUAGAACAACAGAGGUGGUUGGAAAGUGCUGCCGCCGGUAAAGCAUUAGAGACAGAGGCGGCUCGUGUGAGGGUGUCCGAGCUGUGGGCGUUGGAACAGGAACUGGCUGAUGAGGCAGCCAUCUUACAGGGUUUGAAGACUGAUAAAGAUGCCAUCGAUUCAUUACUAACUGGUGUUCGUAGUAAACUAACAUCUGCUAGCGCGAGCCAGCCCGGCCUGGAGGUGGAGCUGGCGAGGGUGCACGCCAUGUUGGCGCACAAUUCAAAGGUUUAUAAGAAAUUGGAGCAGACGGUAGCAGAUAACGCUCGUCUGGAACGAGAGCUGCAUCACCUGCGAAGAGCGCUGAGAGCACAACGAGCCAAUACACAGACACACGCACACCCCACCGCUAUGUUAGAGGAUGAGGUAUCCCGAGUUCAACAUCUUGUAUCGGCCCUCCAACGUCAGAGACAGGAAUUGUCUCGUGCCGUAAGACAUUUGACGCAACAGUCACACGUCCUACAAACAACACAUGACUCCACUGGAAAACGUAGACCGAUGUCUUCGUGGCAGGAGACAAACCUAGAUACAGGUCACACGAUUGAUCAUGGGCAUUCUGAUUACGACUAUGAACCAUCGGCGCCAUUACAGCCCCCGGGACAUUACGGACAGAGUAUGGAAACACCACUAUAUGUUGACACUCGAUCACCUGGGAUGGAUGUUGCUUCACCUAUAAACAGCGAGGACAUGCACCAUACUGCUUUUGGUAAUUUAACCAACGUAGAGAAACAAGAAAUCAAAACAGUACGUAUUGUCAAAAGAGAGAGCGAAAGACGUCAGAGAGACAGAGAACGUUCGUUACAGCCGAUGUCCGAUUGGUCUGCGAACAACAUCACAGCCAACAUAGAUCAAUUUCUGGAGGAAGAAUUAGUGCAGCCGAUAAAUAACUACCGAGCAUCAUCCUUACCAAGAACAGACUAUAGCAAAUACGAGGAAUAUUAUUCAAAACCUCAAAACCAAGAUCAGUCACCCUACAUCCGGAUUAACGACAAAAAUAUGGACCAAAGUCCUAAAUAUCCGUCGAGUCCAUCUUUAUCUAACUACGAUUACUCUCGAGAUAUAUCCUCAUUAAGCAGCAGCUAUCAUAGGAGUUACGACAAAUCAGGGUACGAUCGUACGAAUUCACUAUCCACUCAGUACUUGAAUACGCCCACAGACAGCGCUAGGACGUUGACAAACGAUCCUAUAUCAAAAACUAGUAGUAUGGCGAGUUUGACGAGGUCGAACAUAGAAUUGUCACCGAUAUUCAAAAGCGAGGCAGCCAAGCAAAUCAUAACUGAAAUGUCAAGCGAUGCUCCAAAGAACGGCACGCUUCAUAGACGACAAGUGCCAAAAGAGAAAAGACGACAUUACACCGCUCCUCAUCACCUCAGCGCGAAAACGCUGAAUGAAAUGCCUAAAGAUGUAUACAAUCAAGAUGCUUUAGGCAGGUCAUUAGAUGACGCGGAUAUGGAGCGCGCUCUUCGCACGGGCGCCCCGGAUGUUGUACGCUCUGCUUUGCCUCGCCGCGUACCAGAUUCGAUAGACCAACUACUCGCAGCGCCACAGAAGAUUAUCAUACCGGAGCGUUAUAUACCAGAGAAGCCACCAGAACUAUCGCCUGAGGAACAGCAAAAACGCCAGGAAAAGGUGGAAUCGAUCAAGAAAAUGCUAACAGGUUCUUCAGCGGAUCCGAGUAAGAGCCCGGAUGGUGAAGACAAGCGUCAGCGGGAACACCUGCUGCAGAUGAACCAGCUGCUGGCGCGACAGGUUACAGAGAUGAGCAAGAUCAUAGCUGGAACCAACGAUGGGAAGCCGGACACGAAAUAAUAUUCAUUACUCAUAUAUAGAUACAUCUGUACAAGGAGAUUUAGCAGCAUGAUAACAUUAUUUGCAUUUUGUUUUAAAGCAUUAGAAGAGCUGCCGACACAGAACAACGACGAGGACUACGAAGAUCGCUCGCCGGACGUCGAACUACCGAUAUAUCAGCAGAGAUAUAACUUCUUCACAUAAUAAAAUAUACCAUUGCGCACCAUUUAAACAGCAGUUCACUGAUAGUUAUUUGAUUUUAUUCGAUCAUAUUAAGAUAUAACGCGACAUGGUCCCUUAAAAUACCUAUACGAUCAAAUUUAAUAUCAUGCUGACAUAUAAUAUACCUAAGACUUGUGAAAAAAUCUAUUAUUCGCAUAACAUUCUUUCUAGAAUUUCCAACUUUAAGUACAUUAUACAUAGAUAUGUGUAAAUUUUCGUAAUAUUUGCCAUUAUUAUUUGCCUAAUCGUAGGUACACAAUAUAAUACAAUAUCGGCUUUACAUAUCUUAGUACUUCGUAUAUUACGUAGGUAAUCAUCGAGCUGUGAAUGCUCAAUUUAGUGACAUUCCUUCAAUAUAUAUACAUAUAAUAUUUAUUUACCGUGUUUAUGGGCCAGUUUAUAUAGUUCCCAAAUAACAUAGUCUUCUAUAAAGGGCCUUUAGUAGGUUAAGGUAUAUGCAGAAAUAAGUGCAAACUAUGCCAUGUUCAUGUAUAGUAUAAUAGACAGCACUAUUACGAAAUAAUGCGUUUUAGUAUUAUGUUAGUAAACGUUACAUAUUUAAUAUUAUUUGCAUGUAGAUAUUUUAUAUUAAUUAAUAAAUAUAACUAAACAAAACGCUUCGUUAUUUAAUAGGGGCGUGAUUAAUGAUAUUGUUUUACCUGAUAUUAUUUUAUAAAUUCAUCACACAUAUAUGAUCUUAUUGAAUUUAUUGUUAGAUGUAGCGUUGGGAUUUGACUGUACUAGCAUCUGAAGCCUAUCUUAUGUAGCCUAUAUAAGCUUUAAACAAGAAGUUAACCUUUAAACUACCAUGUUAUAUCAAUUUUACUUUAAUAUUGAAAUAAUCUACCGGACGGUAUAAAAGUCAAUCAUUCAUAUAUCUUUUGCUUUAUAAUUUAUAUAUUCGUUCGUUCGUUCGUUCAUUCGUUCGUUCGUUCGUUCGUUCGUUCGUGAAACUGACGUUUUCAAAUGUAUCCUAUAAAUGAAUUUAAAUAUUAUAUACGUAUACAAGUAUCAACUCCUAGUGUUAUAGACUGAAAUAGUUCUGCCUUAUGUAACGUCAUUUAAAACUUUCCUAAUGUUUCAUUUUAUAAUGUCAAUUAUGUACCUAUCUAUCUAAAUAAAGACAAUUAUUGUUUA
Molecule: RNA transcript, 7269 nt
Organism: Danaus plexippus (monarch butterfly)
Lineage: Eukaryota; Metazoa; Arthropoda; Insecta; Lepidoptera; Nymphalidae
Gene: kmr
Gene name: pleckstrin homology domain-containing family A member 7
Exons: 23
Source: RefSeq, a predicted model, not a curated record